CUCAUCAAAUCAAAACUAAAAAGAGAGGAAGAUAUGUUACUAACCAAAUAAAAUGCGAGGAAAUAAGGAGUGUAUAGUCGUUUAGUAAAAUCCAUCGACAAAAUGCGAGGAAGGCAUUUAUUCUUUAGAAGCCUCCUCAUAUGUUAAUGUUCAGUACAGCUAGAAUAGCAACGGAAAAUGCUAUGAAGUUCAUGAAUGUCAUUUGUUUGAUUAAAUGUCACAAUGAAAAAUGUAAGUGCCUUUUAUUUGCUCAACCCAUGAUUUUUCAUGAAAUCAAUUGUUCUUGAAAUCAGUUGCAAACCCAUACAUUGUAUGAUGUCAUGCAUGUAAGUUUUCCUGUACAUUCUAAUUGUUUGAUAAAAUGUUUAUGUACUUCACAAUUCAUAAAAUCUAUUAUACAAAGUAUUUUGCUUAA
Lathyrus oleraceus (garden pea) is the source of this 415-nucleotide long non-coding RNA. RefSeq lists it as uncharacterized. NCBI's taxonomy places the organism in Eukaryota, Viridiplantae, Streptophyta, Magnoliopsida, Fabales, Fabaceae. The record is from RefSeq and is a predicted model, not a curated record. The transcript has 2 exons.